AAAACAAUGUACAAGAGGAGAUACCAUGAUCAUGAAGGUGGUUCUCUCAGGGUGAGGGUUAUUCAUUGUACUCUGGAUGUGCUGACCCCUGCGGUUUCCCCACAAAUGGGAAACUUGACUAUAUAAUGUGUGGUAACGGGGGACAGCCUUCACACUUUCCCCUG
RNAcentral lists this small nuclear RNA (164 nucleotides) under Carlito syrichta (Philippine tarsier). RNAcentral describes it as "U1 spliceosomal RNA (ENSTSYG00000026242.1)". It matches the Rfam family "U1 spliceosomal RNA". Rfam says of the family: U1 is a small nuclear RNA (snRNA) component of the spliceosome (involved in pre-mRNA splicing). The record is from Rfam by way of RNAcentral. Lineage: Eukaryota; Metazoa; Chordata; Mammalia; Primates; Tarsiidae.